Molecule: ribosomal RNA, 253 nt
Filed under: uncultured bacterium
Lineage: Bacteria
Description: partial 16S ribosomal RNA
Rfam family: Bacterial small subunit ribosomal RNA
Source: RNAcentral
UACGGAGGGUGCAAGCGUUAUCCGGAUUCACUGGGUUUAAAGGGUGUGUAGGCGGGUAUUUAAGUCCGUGGUGAAAUCUCCAGGCUCAACCUGGAAACUGCCAUUGAUACUAUUUACCUUGAAUUCUGUUGAGGUGGGCGGAAUACAUCAUGUAGCGGUGAAAUGCUUAGAUAUGAUGUAGAACACCAAUUGCGAAGGCAGCUCACUAAGCAGACAUUGACGCUGAGGCACGAAAGCGUGGGGAUCAAACAGG